UGGGGAAUAUUGGGCAAUGGGCGCAAGCCUGACCCAGCAACGCCGCGUGAAGGAAGAAGGUCUUUCGGGUUGUAAACUUCUUUUAUUGAGGACGAAACAAAUUGACGGUACUCGAUGAAUAAGCCACGGCUAACUACGUGCC
RNAcentral lists this ribosomal RNA (142 nucleotides) under uncultured bacterium. Its description in RNAcentral is "partial 16S ribosomal RNA". It matches the Rfam family "Bacterial small subunit ribosomal RNA", at positions 355 to 509 of the family's 1533-position model. The record is from RNAcentral.